This 519-nucleotide ribosomal RNA is filed under the name uncultured bacterium. RNAcentral describes it as "bacterial SSU rRNA". It matches the Rfam family "Bacterial small subunit ribosomal RNA", at positions 8 to 478 of the family's 1533-position model. The record is from RNAcentral.
AGAGUUUGAUCCUGGCUCAGAGUGAACGCUGGCGGCGUGGAUUAGGCAUGCAAGUCGAGCGAUCCUUGUCUGAAACUUGUUAGAGUGCUUGCACAAAGGUAAGUGGAUGACGCUGGAUAGCGGCAAACGGGUGAGUAACACGUAGAUAAUUUUCCUCAAAAUCGAGCAAAGCAUCGUGAAAACGAUGGUAAUUCUCGAUAUGCCCUUUUUAUCGUAUGGUAUUUAGGGUAAAGGCAGGGACCUUCGGGCCUGUCGUUUUGAGAUGAGUCUGCGUCCUAUCAGCUUGUUGGUGGGGUAAUGGCCUACCAAGGCGUAUGACGGGUAGCCGGCCUGAGAGGGUGACCGGCCACACUGGGACUGAGACACUGCCCAGACUCCUACGGGAGGCUGCAGUCGAGAAUCUUUUUCAAUGGACGAAAGUCUGAAAAUGCGACGCCGCGUGCAGGAUGAAGGCCUUCGGGUUGUAAACUGCUUUUGUUAGGAAAGAAACUCCUGCCAUUAAUAGUGGUAGGAGGNGAC